Small nucleolar RNA from Amblyraja radiata (thorny skate), 77 nucleotides. RefSeq annotates it as small nucleolar RNA SNORD71. The record is from RefSeq and is a predicted model, not a curated record. The transcript has a single exon. Lineage: Eukaryota; Metazoa; Chordata; Chondrichthyes; Rajiformes; Rajidae.
UGUGCACUGGUCGACACAGACUCGAUGGGUCGAAGGGCCUGUUUCCAUGCUGUAUCUCUAAAGUCUGACAGUGCACC